AUAACAUUGCGAGAGGGCAUCUGAUUGCAAUUAAAGUUUCGACGGUAUAUGAUUGAUGUGCGUUUGAUUAGCUUGUUGGUAGGGUAACGGCCUACCAAGGCGACGAUCAAUAGCUGGCGUGAGAGCGCGACCAGCCACACUGGAACUGAGACACGGUCCAGACUCCUACGGGAGGCAGCAGUAGGGAAUAUUAGGACAAUGGGCGAAAGCCUGAUCCAGCCAUGCCGCGUGAUAGAUGAAGGCCCUCUGGGUUGUAAAUAUCUUUUAUCUGGGAAGAAACAAUCUUAUUCUUAAGAUCUUGACGGUACCAGAGGAAUAAGCACCGGCUAACUCCGUG
This 337-nucleotide ribosomal RNA is filed under the name uncultured bacterium. RNAcentral's name for it is "bacterial SSU rRNA". It matches the Rfam family "Bacterial small subunit ribosomal RNA", at positions 173 to 507 of the family's 1533-position model. The record is from RNAcentral.